This is a non-coding RNA of Rattus norvegicus (Norway rat), 72 nucleotides long. The record is from Rfam. Lineage: Eukaryota; Metazoa; Chordata; Mammalia; Rodentia; Muridae.
GGGGAUUUAGCUCAGUGGUAGAGCGCUUGCCUAGCAAGCACGCAAGGCCCUGGGUUCGGUCCCCAGCUCCCA